CAGGUCUUUCUCCAGCCUACCAGAUAACAGUGAGGAAGCCAGAGCCAGGUACCUCUACAGGCAGUGGGUGGGACUCGGCUUGACUGACGUCCAUCUAUCCAAUCACACAGUCCUCCUCAGCCUGCCUGGUUCCACACCCAACACAAUCACUGACAGGUCUAGUCACCAGUGUUUCCUGCCAAACGGGACCCCCUGUGACCAGCGUGGCCCAAACGACCUGCCGAGGCAGCAGUUCUCUUACGCAGCCUACUCCGCUGUUGGAAGUCUACAGGGAGAGGUGGUGGAUGUUCAGUACGGGAGUGUGGAUGACCUGCGGAGAGCCAAAGACAGCCUGAACCUCACCAACCGGAUUGCCGUGGUCAAGCUCGGCCAAGCACCCUUGCUGUACAAGCUGUCCCUCCUCUCUGAGCUGGGUUUUGGGGGUGCCCUGCUUUACGUUGACCCCUGCGACGCCCCCCUCGGCAGCCACACCUCGAAUCAAGCGUUCAGAGUCACCCUCAACCCCGGAGGAAAU
Hippoglossus stenolepis (Pacific halibut) is the source of this 514-nucleotide long non-coding RNA. RefSeq lists it as uncharacterized. Lineage: Eukaryota; Metazoa; Chordata; Actinopteri; Pleuronectiformes; Pleuronectidae. The record is from RefSeq and is a predicted model, not a curated record. The transcript has 3 exons.